This 466-nucleotide ribosomal RNA is filed under the name uncultured bacterium. RNAcentral describes it as "bacterial SSU rRNA". It matches the Rfam family "Bacterial small subunit ribosomal RNA", at positions 328 to 792 of the family's 1533-position model. The record is from RNAcentral.
UCGCCAGACUCCUACGGGAGGCAGCAGUGAGGAAUAUUGGUCAAUGGUCGGGAGACUGAACCAGCCAAGCCGCGUGAGGGAGGAAGGUACAGAGUAUCGUAAACCUCUUUUGUCAGGGAACAAAGACUGGGACGCGUCCCCGGAUGAGUGUACCUGAAGAAAAAGCAUCGGCUAACUCCGUGCCAGCAGCCGCGGUAAUACGGAGGAUGCGAGCGUUAUCCGGAUUUAUUGGGUUUAAAGGGUGCGUAGGCGGGCUGUUAAGUCAGCGGUAAAAUGUCGGGGCUCAACCCCGGCCUGCCGUUGAAACUGGCGGCCUCGAGUGGGCGAGAAGUAUGCGGAAUGCGUGGUGUAGCGGUGAAAUGCAUAGAUAUCACGCAGAACUCCGAUUGCGAAGGCAGCAUACCGGCGCCCGACUGACGCUGAGGCACGAAAGCGUGGGUAUCGAACAGGAUUAGAUACCCGGGUA